ACAAGCAGGACUAUGAAAUGAAUGUGACCAGGCCACAGUGUCUCAUUUUGAUCCACGAGAGCAGUAUCUUAAAGAAAGAAAUAAAAACAAAUAAAAUUAAGACUGACAUUUCGAUGUACUGUUUCUGCUGUUGGGGGGGAUUACACAUAUAUUUGAAGAGCACUUACGGACAUAAGAGAAUCGACAGAUGGACCCAAGAGAAAAGAGAAUGAGCUAAAGAAGAAAAGCAUUCCAGCUUGCCCGCAUGGAUUUUUUCCUGCAGAAUUAUGCUGAGGACGAGUGGCAGGGCCGAAGAGGUUAUCGAAUGAGAAGAGCUGACUUUGCAAGACCUCCUCUCGUGUGUCAAGUCCCAUUCAGCCCACACGGAGGGAAAGGGCUAGGUCUUCCCUCACGUGAAAAGCACAUGCUCAAUUUCCAGAGCGUUCUCUACACACCGGGAUGACACCGCCAAGCCUGAUCGCCCGCCAUUUUGAGGAACAAGAAUCUUCACUCAUUUUAAUCGCCGAAUCUGAACAGUGGAAAGUCAUUCUCCGAUCAGGAAAGCCUGAA
Anguilla anguilla (European eel) is the source of this 549-nucleotide long non-coding RNA. RefSeq lists it as uncharacterized. The record is from RefSeq and is a predicted model, not a curated record. The transcript has 3 exons. NCBI's taxonomy places the organism in Eukaryota, Metazoa, Chordata, Actinopteri, Anguilliformes, Anguillidae.